This 1606-nucleotide long non-coding RNA is filed under the name Ursus maritimus (polar bear). Its description in RNAcentral is "lncRNA (ENSUMAG00000025247.1)". The record is from RNAcentral. Lineage: Eukaryota; Metazoa; Chordata; Mammalia; Carnivora; Ursidae.
GAAAGGCUUAAGGGGUAAAGUGGUUUUUAUGUGGAUUUUGAAGGGUAAGAUUUGAAAAGAAACUCACCUCUACAUUACCCAUAGCACUUAAACCUGGGAUUUGCAUACAGAGAGUCAAAUAAACAUUGAUCAGUUGAAUGAUGGAGGAGAAUAAGUCACCAGGGAAAGGCAAGACAUGGAGAGAGAGUUUCAGAUUGUUUAGGGGACAGUGAGGAGUCUGAGCUAACUAGCAGAAAGAUUUGGUUCCAGUUAGCAGAAGAAAGUCUGAAAGAACUAGAUAGUAUCAGAUGUUGGAAGCUCUGCAACGUUUUGUAUUACAGUUCAUCAAGAUUUGCGGCCCCUCCCUUCCCUCUUGAAGUCAGACUUGCUCAGGUGACUUAUUCUGGCCAAUUAAAUGUGAGAAGCUCAAUACAUCACUUUCUGGUGGAGACUUUAAGACCAGUGCAAGCUUUGCAUGCUCUUUUGCCCACAGUUCACCACGGCACACUGUGGUUCUCGAAUGGCUCCACUGACAGCCUGGAUCACCAAGUGAGAGGAUCCCCAACUGAGAAUGAUGACAACACAAGUGGACUAAACAUUGUUCAGGAAGUUCCUGGGUUGCUAUGACCAAGAUCUGGUUGCCACAGAACAAAGGAUCACAGCAUAUCAAUCAGUCCACCAGUUUUCUCUCUUCUUUGGGUGAUAAGAGCAGGCAGAGGACACAUCAUGUGCAUAAUGAGAAAAUAACCAGCAGGUAAGGGUGGGGGAAGGGGAGGCGAGAACAGGCAUAAAUGGAAUUCAAUCCUGGCUGCCAUGCUCAGGCUUAGAUUUAGCUAUUUUGUCUUCUCUGUAUUCACCCUCCACUUUCCUCAGCUCUCUGAUGAGAGAUGGGCUCAGAUGACUAUGGGCUGAGAAACUGGAAUAGUUAGCUCCGUACCUCCAGAAGCCAGGGGUGGUCGUCAGACCAGUCGGAUCCCCCCAGUGGGAGUCAACGUCUCAUCUAGGGCUAGCUCCGCAUACACAGCUUUAGGGCCCACAUUCGAGGCAUGGCCAGACCACACAGGAAUGGCAAGAAUCUGAUUCCCACUGUCCAUAGCCAGUUCUUCCUUUCAAUGAAGGAAAGGCAUGGGCCAUUUACUACCUCAGUAUACAUGGGCUCAAGAGCAUAUGCAACAGGAUCCUAUCCUUACAGUCCAGGACCACAAAUCUAACUCCAGCUAUGUCUGAACAGCCAGGGAAGGAAACGCUGUCCUACCCUGUGAUCCGGCAGCCAAAACCCCUGGAGAGUUCUUCAGCUCCCACCCUAUUUUGCAAGGGACCUACUCAGCUAUCCUAUGAGAUACUGUUCCCCAGAACUUCGUUUAUGGAAGGUCCGCCUUCCCUCUGAAGCAGGAGGAAAUGUAAGGUAAACGAGGCAAAGAAAGUAUCAACUGAAAUGAUACUGGACGACGGAUUAUUGGGUUUAUUACAACCAUCUUCUAAGCUGAGAGACAUUCCUCAGCAUUUUUCACAGGACCACAAAAAAUCAGGGCCCUGAAAAAUCGGAACAAAUCCCGGGCUCAGCGACCAACUGUGUGGCCCUCCUCAGAUUACGCAGAAGUGUUCAGGCCCUGGGCAGUAGGAGAAA